AGAGUUUGAUCAUGGCUCAGAGCGAACGCUGGCGGCAGGCUUAACACAUGCAAGUCGAGCGGGCGUAGCAAUACGUCAGCGGCAGACGGGUGAGUAACGCGUGGGAACGUACCUUUUGGUUCGGAACAACACAGGGAAACUUGUGCUAAUACCGGAUAAGCCCUUACGGGGAAAGAUUUAUCGCCGAAAGAUCGGCCCGCGUCUGAUUAGCUAGUUGGUAGGGUAACGGCCUACCAAGGCGACGAUCAGUAGCUGGUCUGAGAGGAUGAUCAGCCACAUUGGGACUGAGACACGGCCCAAACUCCUACGGGAGGCAGCAGUGGGGAAUAUUGGACAAUGGGCGCAAGCCUGAUCCAGCCAUGCCGCGUGAGUGAUGAAGGCCCUAGGGUUGUAAAGCUCUUUUGUGCGGGAAGAUAAUGACGGUACCGCAAGAAUAAGCCCCGGCUAACUUCGUGCCAGCAGCCGCGGUAAUACGAAGGGGGCUAGCGUUGCUCGGAAUCACUGGGCGUAAAGGGUGCGUAGGCGGGUCUUUAAGUCAGGGGUGAAAUCCUGGAGCUCAACUCCAGAACUGCCUUUGAUACUGAAGAUCUUGAGUUCGGGAGAGGUGAGUGGGACUGCGAGUGUAGAGGUGAAAUUCGUAGAUAUUCGCAAGAACACCAGUGGCGAAGGCGGCUCACUGGCCCGAUACUGACGCUGAGGCACGAAAGCGUGGGGAGCAAACAGGAUUAGAUACCCCGGUAGUCC
This 744-nucleotide ribosomal RNA is filed under the name uncultured bacterium. RNAcentral describes it as "bacterial SSU rRNA". It matches the Rfam family "Bacterial small subunit ribosomal RNA", at positions 8 to 796 of the family's 1533-position model. The record is from RNAcentral.